UACGGAGGUUUCAAGCGUUGUUCGGAUUCAUUGGGCGUAAAGGGCGCGUAGGCGGCGGGGCAAGUCGGGUGUGAAAUCUCAGAGCUCAACUCUGAAACUGCACUCGAUACUGCUUUGCUUGAGGACUGGAGAGGAGAUUGGAAUUCACGGUGUAGCAGUGAAAUGCGUAGAUAUCGUGAGGAAGACCAGUGGCGAAGGCGGAUCUCUGGACAGUUCCUGACGCUGAGGCGCGAAGGCCAGUGAGCAAACGGG
Molecule: ribosomal RNA, 252 nt
Filed under: uncultured bacterium
Lineage: Bacteria
Description: partial 16S ribosomal RNA
Rfam family: Bacterial small subunit ribosomal RNA
Source: RNAcentral